RNAcentral lists this ribosomal RNA (440 nucleotides) under uncultured bacterium. Its description in RNAcentral is "partial 16S ribosomal RNA". It matches the Rfam family "Bacterial small subunit ribosomal RNA", at positions 338 to 795 of the family's 1533-position model. The record is from RNAcentral.
CCUACGGGUGGCAGCAGUGGGGAAUAUUGCACAAUGGGGGAAACCCUGAUGCAGCGACGCCGCGUGAGUGAAGAAGUAUUUCGGUAUGUAAAGCUCUAUCAGCAGGGAGGAAAAUGACGGUACCUGACCAAGAAGCCCCGGCUAACUACGUGCCAGCAGCCGCGGUAAUACGUAGGGGGCAAGCGUUAUCCGGAUUUACUGGGUGUAAAGGGAGCGUAGACGGGUAUUGAAGUCUGGAGUGAAAGCCCGGGGCUCAACCCCGGGACUGCUUUGGAAACUGUGUGACUGGAGUGCAGGAGGGGUAGGCGGAAUUCCUGGUGUAGCGGUGAAAUGCGUAGAUAUCAGGAGGAACACCGGCUGCGAAGGCGGCUUGCUGGACUGAAACUGACGUUGAGGCUCGAAAGCGUGGGGAGCAAACAGGAGUAGAUACCCGAGUAGUC